UUUGAUUACGAUGAAUUGGACCAGAACGUAGCCAAGAAUUUGGCUGGAGAUAUCAUCGGAAGCAGGAUCGAGAGUAUUGAUGUGAAUCCUACACCUUUUCAGCCUUAUGCUGAGGUGUUUGGACUGCAGAGGUUCAGAGAAUGUGAGCUCAUUCAUGGAAGGUGGGCUAUGUUGGCUACUCUUGGAGCUCUUGCUGUCGAGUCUCUCACUGGUAUCACUUGGCAAGAUGCCGGAAAGGUACUGUUUUUAGGCCUAAUUUAAGCUUUAUUAUCAUAGAUAUGGAGAUAGAUUCACAAUCCUACAUCAAUUUAAAAUUGUACAUCAAUUUGAUUUGCAUUCCUUUAAACAAAAUUGUACAAUCAAGGCCGAUCACUUGUCAAACUUACAAACUAACCAAAUGUACUCAGUAUAUCCCGCUCUAAGAACUAUGUAAGGAGGGUAAGAGGUUUAACACUAGUAGAUGGACUUUAAAAUAUCAUGAGUCUUUUGCGUAUUACAAAUAGAAAUGACGGUAUAGGUGGAAAUUAGAAACAUGGAGAACAGAUUUGGACUAUUGAUCUGACAUGAAAAUUUGCAGGUAGAGCUAAUUGAGGGAUCAUCGUACCUUGGCCAACCACUCCCAUUCUCCAUUACUUCACUGAUAUGGAUCGAAGUUCUUGUUGUUGGAUACAUUGAGUUCCAAAGAAAUGCAGAGCUUGACCCUGAGAAGAGACUCUACCCUGGUGGCAGUUUCUUCGACCCACUUGGCCUGGCAGCUGACCCCGAGAAGAAGGCCACUCUUCAACUAGCCGAGAUCAAGCAUGCCCGUCUUGCCAUGGUUGGGUUUUUGGGAUUUGCUGUCCAAGCUGCUGCCACCGGAAAAGGUCCCCUUAACAACUGGGCUACACAUUUGAGUGAUCCCCUCCACACUACCAUUAUUGACACCUUUUCCUCAUCCUGAGCUUUUCUUAUUACAUUUCAUUUCCAUUAUAUAUAAUCAUCUCCUUAUGGCUGAUAACUUUUUCCAUGUAUGGGG
This 1015-nucleotide long non-coding RNA is filed under the name Daucus carota (carrot). RNAcentral describes it as "long non-coding RNA (DCAR_LNC005379)". Lineage: Eukaryota; Viridiplantae; Streptophyta; Magnoliopsida; Apiales; Apiaceae. The record is from RNAcentral.